UGGCGGCGGUCUGAGACGACCCCGCUCCGGCUGUUGGCGCGGCGUGAGUAGCGGCAGGGGCUGAAGCGGUGGUCCGGCUAGACUCCGCUCCAGUUGCCGUCGUAGCAUGAGGCGCUCCCGCGGCAACGGUGUUUGCUGUGGUCGAGCGUGUCACGCGGCGUGGCGACUGUCGGCCCGCUUGCCGCUCUUCCACAUCGCCAACCUUGCGGAGGCGCCUUCUUGGUGGGGCCGGAGGCUCUGCUUCUGGUGGGCUGUCUGAAGACGAGGUAGAAGAAGAGUCGAUUUGCAACGAGCCGCUUGUGUCCCUGGCGGGCUCGCUCGGCUCGGCGUCUUGCCCGGCAAGCCCCUUUUCGCCGGCAGGCUCCCCACGCUCGGCACGGCUUGCCGCUUCCGCUGCAUCAGCCUCCGCCACAGUAAAACCAAACUCACCCGCGGCUGCGGCUGCCGCUGCCUCUUCCAUCCUAGUGGCGAUGAGCGCCAACUCCGCAUCCGUGGUAUCGCGGGUGAGGCCGUCCUUCUCGUCGAGACGUAUUGGCACUUCCACCAAGUCGUCGAAGAAUUGCUGCACGACCUCGUCUGCAGGCUCCUGCCAAGUUGGCACAAUCCCGUGCGAGUCGCACUCCGGCAUCAUUGCACGGAUGCGAUCGAGCUCGGAAUUGUUGCACAAAGGCACGAUGCCCCCCGGCAACCUGAACACCUCGGGAUGCUGGGGGUCGUAUCUGAACAGCUCCUGCAGCAUCGCGUCGAGCUCCAGGACUGUGAAGUUGUAAUUGAGGCCUGGCCGCAGCCACAUGAUGUCUGCCGCGUUCUUGAACUCCCAUGUGGGCCUCCCCCGUUCCUGCAGGGGGGGCGAUGCGGUGGCGAAGGAAGUCUGCGCCAACAGCACCAACAGUAAGCCCGGCAAACCUCAGGCGCAGGAUCCUGGUGACGGCAAUCUUCAGCCUGGCGUCCUCCGGAGCCAUAUCGCUCCAGUCGCCGCCGCGUGCUACUGGGGUUUUGCGCUGGGCGGUAAAUGGCUGCGGAUCCUCUUCGUCAAUCCAGCACCAAUCCGCUCUCCACUCCUCCCACUUGCCGCGGAACUCUCCAUCCAGAUAGGUCUCUUUCUUGCCGGACCUUGAGAUCCAGGCGAUCCCGCCGGACAGAGGCUCUCCCCUCUCUACUCAGGGUAUGAAGAAGUGGCGGAAGAGGGCUACGUUGGGAAGGACUCCGACAAAGUUUUCGCAGAGGUGUGCGAAAACUGCCAUGGUCAGGAUGGCAUUGGGGGUGAAGUCAAGGAGAUGGAAUCCAUAGGUGUUCAUGAUGUCGCAGAAGAAAUCAGAGAAGGGCGGGCAGAGCCCGCAGUAGAAGAACAGAGCGAAGAAGGGAUAUCCGUUCGGAGCCUUCUUCCAAGCAAUGGCGGGGAGUACCUUUGUGCACGGAUGCGCGCGCGUCUCCGCCGACCAGAAGAGGUAGUACUUCUCCUUCAGCUCCUUCGCGGCGAGCCUUGGGGGGAAAACUGCCCGCUCCUUCCGCAGCGCUGCGAGCCGCUGCGCCUCGGUCGACUUCACGGCCUUCCCCUUGUCGGCUUUCGGAGCCAUGGCGGAAGCAGUGGAGGAGGCCGACGGCGUUGGUGAUGCUGGCGGCGAUGGGGGGCGCUGCUCUCUCUCUCUCUGCUCUGGGAAGACGAGGGAGCGGCGGAGGUUUCUGAGAUUGGGAACGGCAACGGACGAAUGUACGAACUGCCCCCAUUUCCCCUGCUUAUAAAGGGGGAGGGGGCGGACGUUCCGCAUUUCCGAAUAAAAUAACCACCCACGACCUCUCCCACAAUGCCGCAUUCAACGCGUGCCGUUCGGGGAAGGCGCGGUGGAAGCGGAGAGAUAUGCAACGUGACCUAGGCCACGCGUGCCCGUGCACUGUAUUGGGCCUGGCCCAACAGCGCUCGGCACCGUGUAUGGCCCAGGCCCGGGGGCUCCUGUCGGUGUACUAGAGUAGGGGUACCCUAGUAUCCCGAACUUGUGCACGGGCAGUCGCAGCAUCCCGCGGCAAGGCUUGCCGCGGUGGCUGCCAAGACCCUCCACGGCUACUUUGAAGACCAUUCAAGAACAAAGUACUCAAACCAAGGCCCCGGCAAGAGGAGCUUGCCGGGAAGACCAACCAAGGCCCUGGCAAGAGGAGCUUGCCGGGAAGGCCAACCAAAGCCCCGACGAGAGAAGCUGGCCGGGAAGAAGACAAGACCCCGGCAAGAGGAGCUUGUCGGGAAGGCCACUCAAGGCAUACCAAGAAAGCUUGCCGCGACGCGCCGUGCGUCCCGGCAAGGCCCGGUGAGCGACAAGCUCCCGAACACGACAAGACGACGACCGCGGCAAGGAGCUUGCCGCGGGAAAACCCCACUUCGCGCCCGCGCUCCAGCACACCUGCCAAUGUGUCGCUCUGGGACCCUCCCAAGCACACGUGGCAGGAGGCCGUGCUGCUAGGGGUGCGAGGUGGCAAGCAGGCGCUGACAAGAUAACCAUCGUGGCAAACGGUGGCGUCCCUAGCGGUCCCUUUCGGUACUGUCUAGGCGACACAGACGGGCAAUUAAUGCCCUUGUCCCCUGCCGCCAGGGUUAGGUAUGAUAGCACUGUAGCAGGUAGUUGUACCUACCACAGCACCUUUCCAUUUUUGCCCUUUACCCCCGUUGCUAUGUCGGUAACCCCUUGAGCAUAUAAAAGGAGGCCCGUAUGCAACGGGGAGGGGGGUUAGCCAGUUCGUCCGCCCACGCUCGGUCUUGCUAGCCGCCGGUGUGUACCAUAGCACUGCGCGCUCCCGAGCUAGAAAUUAAUACUAAUCCACAAAGCAGGAGUAGGGUUUUACGCAUCCGUGCGGCUCGAACCGGGGUAAAUCGCUCGCGUGCUUCACCUCGAUCUGCUCUUUGCGCGACCUCCGCCCCCGCCGAACCAAAAGGGACCCGGUCCGCCGGUCCCAUAGGUGCCCGUGGAUCUAGUGGCCCCGGCACAUAGUGAGAGAGGCACUCACAAAUAACAAGCAACUCAUAACAUCUCAUAUGAGAUUCCAAACAUAUCAACUUUAUUGCUUCACGAACUAUUACAAUUCCCAUUUCAUAACUCAACUCAACAUCCCCAAUGAAAAUAAAAGUGUGUUCCACAUUUAUUACGUGCUUUAUUCUAAUAUCAAGAUCAAGCUUUCCUCGGGUCUGAACAUUCUCUGGCAAAAUGUCCUACUCCUUUGCAGCGUAAACAAAUGACUUCAGACAAAUCCAGGGGCUUCCUGGUGGUUAUCUUGGCUCCCUGGGUUCUUGGCUUCCUUGCUGCGCAUUUGCUAGCGUAAUGACCUAAAUCCUUGCACCUAUAACAAGUGAUAUGACUCAGGUCCUUUUCUGCAGAAAUUGGGUUGUUAAGCGAAUACAUGCUCUUACUCUUCCUAGACUUCUUUUUUCCGAUCAAUUCUUCUAUCUCUUGUGGAUCAAACUCCACUUCUUCUGUCGGGAAGUCUCCCAGAUACUCUUGGCUUUGCUUCGUGCAAUAUAGUGAAAAAUUUCCUUCUUCUCCACAUGAAUAGCAAGCAUUGGAGUAAAAUCUGUUUGGUCUUUCUCCAUCAGGGUCGUCAACAUCUUCCUUCAUCACAGGUUCUUUUAAACUUUCCCUGAGUGCUUCUUCCAUUGCUUCCUUCUGCUGCUUGGUAAUUUCUUGUACCUUGGGGUAAAUAUGACACUGGGUAGGGUAGUGCGUAGUUCCUUCACACAAGAAACAAGUAACCUUCAUGGUUGGACAUUCUUCAACUUGGUGAUUUCCUUCACAAUGAGGGCAUCCAUCCUUGUGUUCUUCAUGGGUGUGUCCUAUUUCUCCGCAUAUCUUGCAGGCACAAGGUUUCUUUAUCGGGUUAUCACCGUGCUUCCGGAGAAGACAGGAUCCCAACAGAGUCUUCUUCAAUUCGUCCCAAGUUUUUGCUCCAUUACAUCCUUGUAUGGCUUGAUGCAUUUUCCACCAGGUUGCAGCACUUUUUGUGAAGUACUGAAGAGCGUAUUGAACCUCAUACUUCCUUGCAACGAAAUUGCUCCUGAAGUGAUUCUCCAUGUUUUGAAUCCAUAGCUCUGCCUCCAACUGAGUGAUCGGUCCAGAGAAUACAAGUCCAUCUUCAUUCAUCAUCUGUUGGGUCCAAGGGUUUUGGGAUGAGAUAAGAGGGAUAGAGAGAGAUACACACAAUACAAACAAUAUAGUUUUGUAAAUGGUUUUAUUUGUUGCUGUGGGAAAACACACACAAAAAUAUGACAGCUCACAAAUGAUCGCAUCUAACGUGAGUAUACAACAAGGGUUUGGUCUUAUAAAGGUCAUAUAAAUCUUGGAACUCGCGAGUGUCUUCAAAUUCUUCAAUUCUUCAGAGGCUUCGACUCUUGUAGCUUCAAUUCUUCUAGUGUAUGGUGAAGUCUGAUAUCGUGUACUUCUCGGAGUGGUCUCAUCAGUUGAUCCACCAUGUGGUCAAAGAGAAAAGGGGUAUUGUCUAACUAUUUGAGGUAAAAGGAAAGAUUUGAUAAAGCUCAGAAAAGAAGAGAGGUAAAGGAUCUUUUUGAAAAUAAAUUUUUAGAGAAAUCCUUUCCUAAGGGCUUUCCACUUUCUAAGGUCAUGUCCUAUAGUCAACAUGUGCUCUGAUACCAUCUCUGUAGUGACCCGACCUCAAACGGUCAAGCCUCUAUGUAUUUGUGCCAUCCCUGGAUCGGGGGUAUGCUGGCACAUACAGUACAUCAAUGUAUAUAUCAAAGUGCAAUCACAUGUAUAAAUAACAUAAAACUAAUAUAUAUACCUCCUAAGUCUCAGCGGAAACAAACAUAAGGGUGUGGAGUCCCAUCAACGCCAACGGCAAGUUGAGUGUAGACCGUAACCCUACAACGUAACUCUUACUCGUCGUAGAAAAUUCCUGCAACAUAAGACAUUGCAGCCCUGUAGGUCAGUACAUUGAAUAUACUGGCAAGUCACAUCAUAAGAAUAAUGAACCUAUUUGUACAUGCAAUUUGGCUGGUGGAAAGCUCUAAGUUUAGUUUUUGCAUAAAGCUAGUUUUUCCCUAGAAUAAAAGAUAUUAUUCUACCACUACAAUACAACAUAGGAUGAGUUGGCAAACCCAACUCAAUCCAUUCCAAAAUUUCAUUUAAAACCCAACUGUUUAAAUUAAGAGUGAUGAGAUCUCCCAGCAUUUCCACUACUAGAUGUUCAAGUUGUCCGUAACCGGGGACACGACUAACCGAUUAGGUUUUAACACUCUGCAGAGGUUUGCGCACUUUUCCCCACAAGACGCGACCGCCUCCCUUGAAAUUCUCGCACUGCAUGGCCUUUGAGAAUAGGAUGACCGAGACAUAGUCUUUUGAAAAUAUUCCCCCUUAACCCACGGAUAGGCCGGUACACCUAAAUCAUUCUACAUCUGCUAGCCCAUCCCGGAAGGGGUCACACUAACUACUCAACUAAGCCAGAGCCCAUAUUGGCUUGUGGAUGCACACGUAAGCUUCUAGACAUGAGAAUACGAUUGAUCUCUUUGAGCAUGGGGGGCCGACCACUAGUGGUACACCACCAUGGAUUAACCAUGCAUGCUCCCACUAUACUUCACCACCAUUCAAACCAAAUACCGCCCAGGUAGUUCAUUUACAAGUCUUGGUCUUGAUUACUACUUGGUCACUCAUGCGUCACCAUGUUCUCUUCCCAAACCACGUCUACAUUUAGUGAGGCAAAAAUAAACUUACACGAUGGUGACAAGGAUGUAUAGAUCAGACCUACCUCAAUGAACUACUAGGUAAUGGCAUAGCCAUCUGGCAACAAUAAAUCCUACCAUGCAAUCCUACCACAAAAGGACUAAGUGCAUCAUAUAAACAUAGGUAAUUGAAAGAAUGAUCAACUGUGAACUUGCCUUGAUACUGGUAGUUCAAUUCUAGAGAUCGAUAGUACUUGGCUUCACACUUCGGAUAGUCUAUCGUCAAAGUAAAAUAACAUACAUAAGAAAUCAUUCCAGAGAGCAAUAACAUGCAACACAAAAGACUCGUAAAACCAAAUGGAAAUCCACACACAUAACUUGCAUGCAAAUAAUUCUAGGUGCUAACAAUAAGUGACAUAAGGUGCAAAACCGUGAUGUGAUCUAUCGUUCAUACUUGGCAUAGUAAUAAAACUAUCAUCCACAGAUACGAAUCAUGUGAAAAGUAUAGUGACAAUGGUCCAGGUGGUAGGGUUUGGCUACGGUGACACGGUGCAAAAAGAAUCACAUCAAUCGGAGCUACGAUUUAGGAGAUAUGGCCAUUUGAAGUUUGAAUUCAAAUCUGAAUAAAGUUCAAAUCUGAAUCUGGAAAAAGUUUACAAACAUGAUGCUACUAGAUAGAUCUAAUCAUGAUGAAGAAUUUGCUGCUGGUUUCAUCGAAUUUUGAUCUAUGAUUAAAAAGAUACGGCUAUCCGAAGUUCAGGAACUAAUCUGAAAACUUAGGGACUUGACUAUGAAAAUUUUAUUCAUGACCAGGUCCCUGGCCACGUGGCGGGUUUCUAGUGGUUGAAAGUUGUUUACUUUAGAAGCUUAUAUGGCGAACGGCUGCUAUCUAAGCAAAACAACGGCAACGUCUAACUGGAACAAAAACCGAUCAGUUUUUAACAAAACCCGUGGUUUCAGAAACCCGUGGUUAAUCGAUCUAAUAUUAAAUAAAAAACUAAACAAACGAGGAAGGGGGCUCGCUUACGGUGACGACGACGAGGAACAGGGACGGCGGCGCUGGCUCGGGCGAUGGACGGGGCGGUGCCUGCGGUGCUCUUCGGCGACAUUGAAGAAGACGAACGAGAUGAGUGCGACAAGGGGGUCACGGUGGUGGUGGCGGCACGCGUCGGGGUGGCCGGGACGGGUGGAGCGAAGGGCGGCGGCUUCGUGCUCCGGCGAGGAUGUAGGUCAUCAGGGCGGCGUCUCCGGUGAAACCUAGGGGCAAUAAACAUGUCAAACGGAUGCGGUAGAUCGAGAGAAUGAGAUUGACAGAGAGAGUGGAGGGCGGGGUGGUUUACGGGCAACAAAAAUGACGGCGAGGUCCUCCGUCUCCAGCAAGAUCUAACUGACGAAGGUGGCGGCUGUGAUGAGUGAGGGGGCGAGCAAAGUGGCAGAAUCGAACGAGGGGCAUCGGGGGCAUUUAUAGGCGCGAGGAGGGGCUACGGAGUCGCGGGGAUGAUGCUUAUCCCGAGAGCAAUUGCGUCAGUGGUUGCGGGAGCGCGGGCGCGUGCUUAUCUAGCAGGUUGAGAGGGAGGUUCGGGAUGAAGGGUUGCGGGCCCCACUGGCAGCAGCGGUGGGAGAGAGCGAGCGAGGGAAGAGGGGUGCGGGCGAGCGAGGCGUAAGGCCUCUGGCAGCCUGGGGCGCUACUGGGCCGGUUCGGUGCGCUGGCUGGCUCUUGGGCCGAAGACCAUGGGCCGGUUGGCGGGCGCGUGUGCGUUUUUGUUUUUGUUUUGUUUUUUUCAGAAAGGAGACUCCAACAGAACUAAAUUAAACAAAAACUCUACAUAGGCAUAUUAUAUACCAAAAUGUUCAUAACAAUACCAAGAAUACGAUGAACUAUUUUUCAAGUUCAACUAAAUUCCACAAAAAUUCAUAAAAGUCAAACAAUGCUACUAUUGCAUUUAAAAUCAAUAAAAAUCAUUUUUUAAAUAGCAAAAUGAUUUCAAAUUUAUUUUCUCCUAAUUUUCCAUUGAAGGGAAUCAUUUUACCCUUAUUUCCAUUUAUUUAUUUUUAGGAGAAAAAUAAUUUGAAUUAAAACUAAAUAACUUCCAAGAGGAUUUUAAUUUGGAAUUUCAAACGACUUCGAAUGGAAAAUGAGUUUCAAAUAACUUCAAAGUGACUUCCAAAUUAUUUCUUUGAAACUUCCAACUCUAAAUAUGAAGAAGUCAUUUUAUGAACUCAUUGAGUUGCUUAAAGUUUCUAAAUUUGAAAUAUUUCAAAUGGAAUUCAAAUCAUUUUCAAACCCCUUUUUAUUUCUUUAAAUGGAAGGAGUCAUAUUAUCUUCACUCUAGGGUUUUGUGAUGAGAUGACUUUGAGUUCAUGGAGAUUAAGAAAAAUGCAAGACGAAAGUUUUGGGGAAGUCCUUGUAUUCCCUCUCAUUCAACUUUCAAAAAAAAAUUCUAUUUCCACUCAAUUUCACACCAUCAAUCACACAACAAACAAACAAAUAAUCACAAUUAUUUAUUUAAUAUAACAUUCCAAAAUUUAGAAUUUUGGGAUGUUACAUAUAUCCUACUCAUGCUUGCAUUCGGUGUUGAUUAAUUUUAAUGCAUGUUCAUGACGGUUGUCGCUCUCUAGCUGGUCGCUUCCCAGUCUUUUGCUAGCCUUCACCUGUAGUAAGCGGGAAUACUACUUGUGGAUCCAAUUCCAUAAACCCCAAAGUUAUUCCAUAUGAGUCCACCAUACCUACCUAUAUACGGUAUCUACCUGUCGUUCCAAGUAAAUUUGUAUGUGCCAAACUCUAAAGCUUCAAAUAAAUAUCCUGCUUUGUAUGCUCGAAUAGCUCAUGUAUCAACUAGGGUUGUCUGUAUCUUCCAUGUUAGGUGAGUUAUUGUCAAGAGGAGUGGAUUCCGCUCCUCACUCACGAGAAAAUGGCUGGUCACCGGGAUGCCCAGUCCCAUGCUCUAUGCAAAUCAAAUCAAAAUAAUUGCAAACAAAACUCCCCCGGGAGUCUUGUUAGUUGGAGGCACUCGUUGUUUCAAGCAAGCCAUGGAUUGAUGCUUGUUGGUGGAGGGGGAGUAUAAACUUUACCAUUCUGUUUGGGAACCGCCUAUAAUGUGUGUAGCAUGGAAGAUAUCGCCAUCUCUUGGUUGUUAUGUUGACAAUGAAAGUAUACCACUCAAAAUAUUAUUCAUAUCUAUUUCAAAACCGAGCUCUGGCACCUCUACAAAUCCCUGCUUCCCUCUACGAAGGGCCUAUCUAUUUACUUUGAUGUUGAGUCAUCAUCCUCUUAUUAAAAAGAACUAGUUGGAGAGCACCGCUGUCAUUUGCAUUCUUUACUGUUAGUUUACAUUGAGUAUGACUUGACUGGAUCUCUUUUACCAUGAAUUACAAUGUCUAGUCAGUCCUUGAUCUUUAAAGGUGCUCUGCAUUUAUGUUUUGCUGUCUCAGAUAGGCUAGCGAGAUACCAUCUUGUUAUAUUAUAUCAUGAUUGUUUUGAGAAAGUGUUGUCAUCCGAGAUUUAUUAUUAUUGCUCGCUAGUUGAUUAUGCUAUUGAUAUGAGUAAACAUGAGACCUAAAUGUUAUUGUGAAUAUGGUUAGUUCAUAAUCUUUGCUGAAAACUUGAAUGCUGGCUUUACAUAUUUACAACAGCAAGAGCAAACAGAGUUUGUAAAAGUUUUUCAUUAUCACUUUCAGUUUAUCAACUGAAUUGCUUGACGACAAGCAAAGGUUUAAGCUUGGGGGAGUUGAUACGUCUCCGUCGUAUCUACUUUUCCAAACACUUUUGCCCUUGUUUUGGACUCUAACUUGCAUGAUUUGAAUGGAACUAACCCGGACUGACGCUGUUUUCAGCAGUUGCCAUGUUGUUAUUUUUGUGCAGAAAUAAAAGUUCUUGGAAUGACCUGAAAAUCAACGGAGCAUUAUUCUGGAACAUAUAAUGAAUAUUGGAAGGAAGAUCCACGUCAGGGGGUGUCCCACCUGUCCAUGAGGGUGGGGGCGCGCCUGCCCCCCUGGGCGCGCCCCUUGCCUCGUGGGCCCCCUGAUGCUCCACCGACCUUAACCUGGACUCCAUAUAUUCACUUUCGGGGAGAAAAAACCAGAGAAGAAGGAUUCAUCGCGUUUUACGAUACGGAGCCGCCGCCAAGCCCUAAACUCUCUCGGGAGGGCUGAUCUGGAGCCCGUUCGGGCCCCCGGAGAGGGGAAUCCGUCACCAUCGUCAUCAUCAACCAUCCUCCAUCACCAAUUUCAUGAUGCUCACCGCCGUGCGUGAGUAAUUCCAUCGUAGGCUUGCUAGACGGUGAUGGGUUGGAUGAGAUUUAUCAUGUAAUCGAGUUAGUUUUGUUAGGGUUUGAUCCCUAGUAUCCACUAUGUUCUGAGAUUGAUGUUGAUAUGACUUUGCUAUGCUUAAUGCUUGUCACUAGGGCCCGAGUGCCAUGAUUUCAGAUCUGAACCUAUUAUGUUUUCAUCAAUAUAUGAGAGUUCUUGAUCCUAUCUUGCAAGUCUAUAGUCACCUAUUAUGUGUUAUGAUCCGUUAACCCCAAAGUGACAAUAAUCGGGAUACUUACCAGUGAUGACCGUAGUUUGAGGAGUUCAUAUAUUCACUAUGUGUUAAUGCUUUGGUCUGGUACUCUAUUAAAAGGAGGCCUUAAUAUCCCUUAGUUUGUGCUAGGACCCCGCUGCCACGGGAGGGUAGGACAAAAGAUGUCAUGCAGGUUCUUUUCCAUAAGCACGUAUGACUAUAUUCGGAAUACAUGCCUACAUUAUAUUGCUGAACUGGAGCUAGUUCUCUGUCAUCCUAGGUUAUGACUGUUACAUGACUGAUCGCAUCUAGCAUAAUUCUCUAUCACCGAUCCAUUGCCUACGAGCUUUCCAUAUAUUGUUCUUCGCUUAUUUACUUUUCCGUUGCUAUUGUUAUCAUCACUACAAAACACCAAAAAUAUUACUUUUGCUACUUUUACCUUUUGCUAUCGUUACCACUACUAUCAUAUUACUUUGCUACUGAACACUUUGCUGCAGAUAUUAAGUUUCCAGGUGUGGUUGAAUUGACAACUCAGCUGCUAAUACUUGAGAAUAUUCUUUGCCUCCCCUUGUGUCGAAUCAGUAAAUUUGGGUUGAAUACUCUACCCUCGAAAACUGUUGCGAUCCCCUAUACUUGUGGGUUAUCAGGAUGACAUUGUGUUAAUCAAUAGGCAUCUUGACGAGUCGCAAGGUAUGUAUUCGGAGCAGUCCUUACACAUACGUGUUUGUAAUAUAGGCGUGACGCUGAAAGUUGUAUACUGGGAUAUGCAUGGCUGCAGAUGGUGCUGCUGCCGCUGAGAUUUUUCGGGCGGAGCUGGCCUGGGCCAAGGAGCAAGCCCGGUUUAGUAAUGCGGCUGCCGAAAAGGCGUCGGCUGAGCUAAAGGCCGAACAAGCUGCUCGGCGCCAAGACAAGGAGAAAAUAUCCACGAUGGCGCUUGAACUAAAAAAUGCUACUAGCCGCUGUGAAUGUCUUGAGAAGGAGAAUGAAGCCAAAAUGGCUGAACUUGACAAGGCCUUGCGAGAGGCGAUAGAAGUGCGGUCUGAAUCUAGAGCAGCCCGUGAGGAGAUCCGGCAUGCUGGGGAGAUUGCGGCCGGUAAGCCCUUUUUUGCUUCAGACUAAGUUCGACGAUCCGAACUAUGCUCAGCUUAACCAAGUGUGGAGUUCUCCAGACGAGUUUUCAGACAUGUCGAAGAGUUCUUCCGGUGCGGCGCAGUUUUACCAAGCGCAAGAGGGGUAUACAACGGAGAAGCUUUUUUGGUCACAAUUUGGCGCAUCAAAGCGCCCUUUGUUGCUGAAUGAAUAGAUGUCCCAAUGCGCCGAGCUUCAUAGGAUAUCCGGAGCUGCCAUGAAGAACGUCAUAAUCCGGCUGUGGCCGACUGAGCCUAUUCUGAAUAGCUACUUCGGCUUGGUGCGGCGGCUUGUUGAUGCGGUGCCACGUAUCGAUGCUGUUAAGCGGUCGACGUGCAUUGAGGGUGCACAGAUGGCCUUUGCCUGUGUCAAGACAUACUGGGGGAAGAUGAAGGCCAUCGAUGUUGCAGCGAAGAGUCCACCCAAGGGCAAGGACCAUCACCCACCGGAGCAUUAUUUUGAGGACGUCUUAGAGGCUGCCCGCUUGAUAGAGGGUCAAUGCUCAAAUGACAUAAUAUUCAAGUGAGGUUUAUGGGAAUUGUAAAAGACAAUUUUAUAUUUAAUCUAUUUUUAUGUUUUGCUCGAAAGCUUUUGUUCCUCCUGUGUGGCCGUUUUUAUAUAAUCUGAAGGUUUUCCAGUUGCCGGCUUCAGCCUCCUGUUAGGAAGUAUGGGGGUGUUCGGAAAAGCAUUUGAUCACUCUUGACCCAACGUCUUGGUCCAUGAAGGAGGUGACAAUGCGGCGAACCAGACAAUUAGACUAUAGGGCAUUAACACUUUCACUUAGCCAUAGGAGUUUUAUGGUGGGUCUAUGAUAUAGGCCCUUGUACAUACGCGACUUAUUUUUAGUAAGAUGCGUUGCAAAAAAUGAUCUGAGAAAGAUCCUUCGUAUCACACGGAGAGAAUCGAUGAAGAUUUCGAUAAGUCGUCAAGUGGUUGACCAGCUCUCGCCGCAUCAUCACAGUCAGUUUUCGGCUUUCUCUACUGAGGUGCUUGACCAGAUGAACCGGAAGCACAAUCGUAGUAGUUUUCCCUUUACUACCCUAGCUGAUAGAGCGAAACAUAGGGUAGCAAGCACAAGAGCCGGGCAACCCAACUAUUGACCCAAGACAUGAUUCAGAGCUGAUGCAUAUAAGUCCAAAUUCGCGAUGCCGAAGUAUGCUAUAAAGCUGUUCAGACUUGCCGGCAACUCAUUUGUUCCCAUACCGAGCUCCUGGCGGGUUAUGCCGAGGUGUGUGUGUGCAAAACAACCAUAGGAGCAAAAAUUCGGAUCGAUUAGGAAAUAGUCAAUACUGGACACUGGUUACUUUUACUGGGAGCUGAGUGAUAUGCCAAUUAUUAUAUAGAUAACAAAGCUGCGACUCUGGCUAUUUGACACGCCAAGGGUCAAAGGCUGAGGAAAAAGGCACUUUACAGGCUCGGAAUAGAGAGCGCGGUCUAUAAAAAGUUAUUUUGGACCUCCUCUCACACGUCUGCGUCGCCUCUCUCGGUUAAGGGAUUGCUUGACAGGAAUAACCCUUGGGUGAUUGUACGAACCCAAACUCUGGUAGAGUACUCGGGGUGACCGGACCUUGAGCUACCUGUAGAGGGAAUAGUCAAAAGGAAAAGGGUAGUUAGAAAAGUAGGGGGGUUUAUAGGCCCACCCUCAUUGUGCUUCCGUCGAUGCCCAGGGUAUUUCAAGUGCAUAAUUAUGUAUGCGCGGUACCCACUUCGAAGGCACAUUAGGCGAACGGUGGAACCCGAAUUGCUAGUCCAAUAUGGACAUUGAUCGGUCAUGUUGAAUGGAGUCCAGCGGCAUGAUGGCCGACAUGAUAUGCGGCAUGAUAAGGCCGCUACGUAGUUCGGCUGAGGUAGCCGUAGUAUGAUCUCCUGUACGGAGGGAGUGUUCCGUGCGCUCACCUCUAGGGGUGUGUGUCACGUAUACCAUGUUUACUAUUUUUGCGUCGAGGGGAAACUGCUUCUGACCCCUGUUGUUCGGUUGGUGAGCCCGUUCGUCGUUGCUAUCGUCGGGCGGCCUCUUCCCCUUGUGUUCGGCAUUUAACUUGCUGGCCUAUUUGAAGACCCAACAGCUUCUGUUGGUGUGAUUAGUUGGUUUAUUGGGGCGGCCAUGGAUCUGGCAGGACCUAUCCAAUAUUUUGUCUAAAUUGGAUGGCCCGUCUUUGUUUGCCGUAAAUGGCUUUUUCCGUUAGCCGGGUUUGCGGCCGCUGAAUCCAGCGUUGGCCGCUGCGUCCUGUGUGCCCUCAUUAUUAUUGCGACGUUUGUUUUUAUUGCAUCGUGGCUUUCCAUUACUGUCCCACACUUUAGAGGUGCCCGAAUCGCUGGCGCUAUUGCUCCUACGGGCAAGCCAGCUGUCUUCUCCCGCGCAAAAGCGGGUCAUCAGAGUGGUAAGGGCUGACAUAGACUUCGGUUUUUCCUAACCGAGGUGGUGGGCAAGCCACUCGCCCCAGAUGCUGUGUUUGAAGGCCACGAGGGCUUCCGCGUCCAGACAAUCAACAAUUUGGUUCCUUUUAACUCAAAACCUAGUCCAGAGCUUUCAGGCGGACUCUCCGGGCUGCUGGACAAUGUGACUUAGGUCAUCAGCAUCUGGUGGCCGGACAUAUGUACCUUGAAAGUUAUCGCGGAAGGCAUCUUCCAACUCCUCCCAGCUGGCAAUUGAGUUUUCAGGAAGACUGUUUAACCAGUGCUGAGCUGGUCCUUUGAGUUUUAACGGGAGGUAUUUGAUGGCAUGAAGGUCGUCUCCACGGGCCAUGUGGAUAUGGAGAAGGAAAUCCUCAAUCCACACCGUGGGAUCUGUUGUUCCAUCGUAUGAUUCACUAUUUACGGGUUUAAACCCUUCUGGGAACUCGUGACCCAUUACUCUAUCAGUGAAGCAAAGAGGGUGUGCGACGCCUCUAUAUCGGGCCGCAUCGCGAGUAGCUCCAACGGAGUCCGCCUGCAGUUUUUGGCUUGGGUGUCGGUGUCAAAACCGGCGGAUCUCGGGUAGGGAGUCCCAAACUGUGCGUCUAAGGCGGAUGGUAACAGGAGGCAGGGAACACGAUGUUUUACCCAGGUUCGGGCCCUCUUGAUGGAGGUAAAACCCUACGUCCUGCUUGAUUUAUUCUUGAUGAUAUGAGUAUUACAAGCGUUGAUCUACCACGAGAUCGGAGAGGCUAAACCCUAGAAGCUAGCCUAUGGUAUGAUUGUAUGUUGUAUAUGAUCUAUCGACUAGCCUGACAUAGGUUUAUAUAAUGCACCAGAGGCCUAGGAUAACAAGAGUCCUAGCCGAAUACGCCGGUGGGGAGGAGUCCUUGUCUUGAUCACCAAGUCUUGUGGAAUCUUCCAUGUAUGCGGCAACUGUCCGAACUGGCCCAUGAGUAUACGGCCAUGGGGGUCCUCGGCCCAAUCUAACAGAUCGGGAGACAACGUGGUGAGUACCCCCUAGUACAGGACACCAUUAGUAGCCCCCUGAACCGGUCUUCAAGUUAGGGACGCUCCUCGAUUCUUCCGAACUGUUCUUCAUCUUCGAUUGUCGGUCUUGAAAACUGGUUCAACAAAUCUUCUCAUCUUCGAUCUUGAGGAUUGCCGAAAUGCAUUCGACGGGUUUACACGUCGGGUAUCCAAGGAGCCCCUUUAAGUUUCCGGCCUUUAUCAAUGCCUUGUUAUUUUUAUGCCACACCUCGGGUUUGAAGUUGUUCCCGGGAGGCAGUGUCCUCUUGCAUCCGAGCUCUAACGCUGGACUGCAUUCGAGGUAUCUUUUGCAGUCGAGCACCAAUGCCAGACUGCUUCCGAGCUCCUAUGCCGGACUGUGUCCAAGCUCCAACGCCGGACUAUAUCCAAGAUGUCAUAGAUCACCUUGGUCCAAAAAAGUUGAAGGAGUUUAGCCGAGCUUAAUGCCGGAAAUGCCCUCUAUGGAGCCAGCCACUAGCGCCCGAGCUUUAUGCCGGACUGCUUCCGAGGUGGUGCACCACCCCGACUAUGGGCCGAUUUUUUGUCAAUAUUUUUGAUUGGUGCAAUUUAUUCUCUGCCGAGAUAUAUAGCCAGUAGCCCUCAAGGUGUGUAUCGGUUUAAAACCCGAGAUGCACUUGAAGGAUGACGUAAGACCGUUGAUCCCAGUAGCCGCUGAGACUCAGGUUGAUUUGCAAAAUCGGCCUGAGGAUCAAGUCCUAGCUUGGCAGAAUACUUCGGGACACAAAAAGCGGCAUGCUCUGUCCUCGAGACUCAGGUCGGGUGCCGUCGACCAACCUGAGGAUCAAAAUCUCCUCGGCAACUGUAUUACACUUAAAAUUUUCUGCAUUGAACAGGCAAUGCAGUAGCCCCCGAGACACUGGUCGGGUGGCAACACCAGAUCAGGGGAUCGAUGUGCCCCUUCAAUAUGUUUAAAUAAUAAGCCCGAAGCCCAGUAGCCCCCGAGCCUUAAUGCGGGCACGGGUGGCCGAAUAAGGAUCAAUAUCCAUAGUAAAAUCACAAAUUAUGUGUAAUGACUCUAUGUAUCCAAGUACUUUACGUCAUUAAUGCUCGGAUCCGCAUUGUAGAAAACUUUGUUGACCGACCAUCGGCUUCAACCUCCUCAGCCAGUAGCCGAGGAGUGUUUGUCCUACUUUAUAAAGCCUUUAUGAGGGCAAAGAUUUACGACAAACAAGGCAAAUUGGCCAUACGGUUUUAUAAACAAAGGUACGCAGAGAGAUAUGUUAUAUCACUGUAGAACAUAAUAAAUGUCUUCCAAAGAAAAUAAUCCCGCUAUCGGUUCCUUUCUUUGGGUUGUCAUGCUGAGCAUCAUCAUGAAACCUCAGCUCUAAUGUAAGAGCAAAAUAUUGAGGAUUUAGUUUGGGAGGCCAGUUACUAGCCCCCGGUAGUGUUCAGCGACAGUCGAGGUCAAGCCGUAAAGUCUCCGGCCAAUGUUAUGAAUGGCCAGUCAUUUAACACCGUCAUCGGAUUACUGACCAGUUUACGCUUAUUGUGACAGUCAGUUUUCGACUUUCUCCACUGAGGUGCUUAACCAUGUGAGCUGGAAGCACAAUCGCAGUGGUUCUCCCUUUGCACACCUAGCCGAACAAAGUGGAACGUAGGAGGCAAGCGCAGGAGCCGGGAAAUCCAACUAUUGACCGAAGACACAAUUCGAAACCAAUGCAUAUAUAGUGAGAUCCGAGAAUGUAUUUGCCGAACCUAUAAAGGUUUCCGGCAUUGCACUGCGAGACUUGUGCUAAAAACACACAAAUAGUUAAAAAGUGUCAUAGGCUUGGAAAACCAAAAAACGUCAGUGAAAACCUGACGUCCGAACAAGAUCAAGUGUUCAGUGCCAAUCCGAAAAUUGGAAGAAAAAAUUAUGCUUGUGUCGUGCAUUAAUAUUACACAUCCGAUCUCAAGACUUCAAGCGGGUCAGCCUACGGCUGCAGCCUCCUAUCCCGAAGGCGGAGUGCUUCUCGUUAGACCAGUUUAGCGAACUAAACUCGAGCGGUCACUAGAGAGAAAAUGGGUUAUCUGGCUAUUGACCACACACUCACGUCAAAAAAGGAGCGAUAGAAAAAGACUUUGCAACGACCAAGAAGAAAACACAUUUACUAUAAAAUAGCUCAUAUAAAUUUUAAGAGCCCCCAAGUGACUUGGGUAAAAGAAUUUUAUGUAUAAUGAUUGUAUGUACCGAAUUACUUAUAUCAUAUCUUUGUCAACCAAACUUUAAACGUGUCUUAACCGACCUUUGGCUUCUCCCUCUUCGGUCAAGGACCGAAAAGUGUUAUGUACUCCACCUAUCGAGAAUACAACAGUGUUUCCGAUAACUAGGCGACCGGGCCAUAAGGCUGUAACAGACAAAGCGCGCUCAGGGAACUUAUGCUAUAUUACAUACGAAGUGUAAGAAGCAUCUUCGAAGAAAAUAGUACCCCCACCGAUACCUUCCUUCGGUGCUCAUUAUUGCUAUGAGACUUGUGCAAUAGUUUUUUUGUACUCAUGAGUUCCGUUGUGUGCCGACCAUGAUUGAAAACAAUAAGAGCGCUAACUUUCGGCUUCACCUAGUCUGAAGUCAGAGCUCGGAGGACUCGGUCGUGACAAUCGUAGAGGUGCUCCCUUUACUCCCUAGCCGAACAAUCGGGAACAUAGGGGUAAGCACAGGAGCCAGGCAACCCAGCUUGCAAAUCGCUUAAGUCAAUAUGGUGCAUAUUGUGGCGUAAUACACGAACAAGGAACGAAGCCGUACAAGUAUAAUCAUAUGCUAGAGGAAAAGCUUCAUAAAGGAAGCCCCCAAUAAACAGGGUAUUUGAAUAUGUGUGUUACGAACAAAGUUUGGACAAGGAAAUUUUUUACAAGCAACUUUUUUCCAAAAAGGUAUAAUGCUUAGUCGAACCGAACACAAGUUAAAAAUUAAAACUUUGAGCAUGAAAGCGACUUAGCUGGUUAAUGUGUUCGGCAUUGAUGACGCGGUCCGAGCUUGAUGCGGGACAAGGUUCUAUCCCCCAAGCCGGUCCCGAGGUGGCGGAGCGGAGAGGUCGACACGCCGAAGUGGUGACAUAGCACGGUCAAUGCAGACCGACGAAGUCCCCGGAUCAUUUUCCUGUGCACAAAAAAUAGUGCAAAUCGGAGAUAAUAGUAAUAAUAAUAAUUAAAAAAAUCGUUUCAUAAUAAAUAAUUUAUGCAAAGUGAGUAAUAAAAGAAAUAUGACCUAGCACCGAAGUAAAUGUCGAUGCAAGGCAUCGGCGUGAUGCGGUAAAGGCGCGGCAAAGCCUGAAUUCACAGGUCGGUCCGAGUUCCGGAUAUGGCGUUCGCCGGACUAUGUACGGAAACUGACCGAACCACCACGUGACCGUCGUUAAUGCAGCCAUCACUUGAUAGAACUGUGUAUAGAUGAUGGACAAACCAGAGUAACAAUUCCUUGGGAAAAAUAAACCCAAACAAGCAAAAAAUACUAGGAUUAAUAGCACCUGGUUUAUUUGUUGUAGCAAUCUGAAGAAAGGUGAUUCCAAAAACUGGGACUCGGUCCGCACACCCAUUGCCGGAUGGGAGAUAAAGCGACGGUAUGGCGAUGCUGGCAAAGGUUGGCUCGCCGAGGCAAAGCCCUCGGUCCAGCUAACGUGACGGAGCUGGUCGGCUAGUGACGCCGAAGUCUCCGGAGUAGGUUGAUGAAGAGAUGGAGAAGCCACCGGUCCAGCCGACAUGUCGAAGCCUCGAUGUCAGCCGAUGAGUCAAAGUAGGUCGGUGUGAUGGACACCAGAUUGAAGAAGCAAUAGUGCGGCCCUACCGAUGCAGGUUGUGAUGUGGUCGAUGCCGGCUUGAUGAAGUGACCGUGCGGCGAUGCCGGUAUACCCGCUCCGUGUAAUCCAUGGGGCGGCGAUGUUGGUGAUGAUUUAUCCUUCACGAUGCCGGACUCUUGUUCGGCUUGCCGAGAUGAUGAUCAGAAGAAGUUGAGCUCGGGUCAACAAAGUGAUGACGUGUCUAGCGCAGGUCAGCAGCCUUGGAGCAAUAUCGCCGGACUGGUUUGACACCAGCAUGAUGAUGAAGGCGACCUUAGGGGAGGCUUAAAAAUUUACGGGCACGUGUUUAAAAACAACGCACAAUACCCUAGAAGAGAAUUCCUCUAAAAAGGUUGUCCAAUGUCACGUUCAUAAAGAAACAUGAAUUCGGGUCGGAUCCGUAUUCACGUAGAAAAUGGAUCCGAAAAUUGAUCCACUCAUCGGAAGGUUCCCGGAGUUUGAACCGUCGGAUCGGAAAUUUGGUGGGGUGGGAGAUAUGGGAAUUCCGCAGUAGAUGAACGGUUGGAUCUUCCAAAGGACCUCCGAGCUAGGCUCUGGAGACCACGCCCUAAACUCGUCUAGAUUCCCGUCCAGAUUUGACAGGGCUCCGGUAUAUCGUAGAUUGUCGGAGAUUCCUCCAUUGGAACUCGACGAAAUUUUGCAUGGCUGUUCUAGACUCAAUUCCGCACAAUUCCACGAAAGGGAUCGUCAAAACGAUGCUCUAAGAGGUGGUGGCAGCGGAUACAAGUUUGCUGUUUGGAAAAACAGCAUGGUCGCCCGAGGGCAAUGUUGACGUUGAGCCCCCGAGCUCCAUGGAUGAUUCCUCCAUGAUCUUGAUAGAUAUCGGAGUUGAUGUUGAUGAAGGACCUCAUACGGACAUGACGAUCGGAGAUGGAGCACGGUCCUCGGUCGAGCCAAGGUGACCAGUCGAGCUGGCGAUGAAGAUGUCGUCAUUGCAGUUGACCUGCAGAUGAGCUAUCGAUCCUUUUGGCGAUCACACAACGGAACUCUCAAUUAAAGCACUAAUGUCGGUGUCAAAACCAGCAAAUCUCAGGUAGGGGGUCCCAAACUAUGCGUCUAAGGCGGAUGGUAACAGGAGGCAGGGAACACGAUGUUUUACCCAGGUUCGGGCCCUUUUGAUGGAGGUAAAACCCUACGUCCUGCUUGAUUUAUUCUUGAUGAUAUGGGUAUUAUAAGAGUUGAUCUACCACGAGAUCGGAGAGGCUAAACCCUAGAAGCUAGCCUAUGGUAUGAUUGUAUGUUGUAUAUGAUCUAUCGACUAGCCUGGCCUCGGUUUAUAUAAUGCACCAGAGGCCUAGGAUAACAAGAGUCCUAGCCGAAUACGCCGGUGGGGAGGAGUCAUUGUCUUGAUCACCAAGUCUUGUGGAAUCUUCCAUGUAUGUGGCAACUAUCCGAACUGGCCCAUGAGUAUACGGCCAUGGGGGUCCUCGGCCCAAUCUAACAGAUUGGGAGACGACGUGGUGAGUACCCCCUAGUACAGGACACCGUCACCGGGCGUGACUAGGUUUGUCGCAUCCGAAUAGAUAGCCAUCAUCGCGUGUCGCGGUACGUCCUCGCGAUCUGUAGAUCGAUCUGGUAUAUCCUGCUUUACUGUCCAGGUCCUGCCAAAGGUCGUAUGUAUCACCCCGAGCUGUGUUGUUUCUGUUUUUACGUGGCAGUGGGGCGAGUUGUUGUUCGGCUUGAAUUGCCGCUUUAUCUCCGCCAAGUUGUGGUCGACCUGCCACAUUGUCCCGACUGCGCUGUGAUCGGUCGGCCGUGUUGCGCGAGUGAGGUAUGAGCUCUAGCGCCUCCUCGUCAAAUUGGGGUAGCAGUUUGCGCUUUGGGUAACUCCUGGCUGGGAGCUUGAGGCCGUAUUCCUUGGCUGUUAGGACAUUAGUCAAUCUGUCGUUGAGCAGAUCUUGGUCAGCUUGAAGCUGCUGCUGUUUCUUUUUUAGGCUCCUUGCAGUCGCUAUUAGCCCGUGCUUGAAGUGCUCCUGCUCGAGAGGUUGCUCGUGCACGAUGAAAUCCUCGUCGCCGAGGCUUACCUCAUCUUCGGAGAGCGAAAGAUAAUUAUCGUCCUCCUAAUCGUCAUGUAUGGCUUGUUCAUCAGGGCUAACUUGCCCAUUUUCCCGUUCCUCCUGUUCGGAGGUUACCUCAACGGGGUCUUUAUUAUCUUCGGGUUCGUCCAGAGUACUAUUUUCCCCGGUGCCAGUGUUACUAUUCUUUGAACGACGUGACUUAGAGCGGCGCUGAGGACGCCGAUGUUUUUGCUGUGUCUCAGGAGGUUUAUUCUCAACUGGAUUUUCUGUGUCAUCGUCGUUGGUUGUUUUGGAUGUGCCCACCAUGUACACAUUGUACGAAGAGGUGGCCGUACAGCGUCCAGUGAAUGGCGGACUUUGAUUUUGCUCCUCAUCAGCAUCGUCGUCAGUACCGUCGAUGUCUUCGGAGUCGUAAUCGAGCGCGUCGAUUAAAUCCUCGGCUGUGGCUAUGAAGUGGGUGGCGGGUGGGAAGCAAUAUUCUCCAUCAUCAACCCCUAGUUCUAACCAAACAUAGUUCGGCUGUGAGUCCCCCACCAAGGACACGUUUUUUAAUGAGCUUAGCACGUCGCCGUAACACCCACGAUGCGGCUAUAUCUCCCACGUGUCGGAGCACGACUUAGAGGCAUAGCCGCAUAGUAGGCAUGUCGCAAGAGGGGUAAUCUUUACACAUCCAAUGUACUAAAUAAGAAAGGGAUAAAGAGUUGGCUUACAAUCGCCACUUCACACAAUACAUAAAUGUAGCAUUACAACAUCUAGAAUACAAUCAAGGUCCAACUACGGAACCAAAAUAAAGAAAGACCACCCCUAAUGCUAGAUCCCUGAUCGCCCCAACUGGGCUCCACUACUGAUCGAAAGGAAAACGAAACAACACAACGAACACGAUCUUCAUCGAGCUCCCACUUGAGCUCGGUUGCGCCAACUGCACUGGUAUCAUCGGCACCUGCAAACUGGUUUUGGAAGUAAUCUGUGAGUCACGGGGACUCAGCAAGCUCACACCCUCGCGAUCAAUACUAUUUAAGAUUAUGGGUAGGAGAAGGUAGUGAGGUGGAGCUGCAGUAAGCACUAGCAUAUAUGGUGGCUAACUUACGCAAAAAAGAGCGAGAAGAGAAGCAAAGCACAGUCGUGAACUAGAAGUGAUCAAGAAGUGAUCCUGAAACUACUUACAUUCAAACAUAACACAAGAACCGUGUUCACUUCCCGGACUCCGCCGGAAAUAGACCAUCACGGCUACACACGCGGUUGAUGCAUUUUAAUUAAGUUAAGUUUCAAGUUCUCUACAACCGGACAUUAACAAAUUCCCACCAUAACCAUGGGCACGGCUUUCGAAAGUUCAAAACCCUGCAGGGGUGUCCCAACUUAGCCCAUCACAAGCUCUCACGGGCAACGAAGGAUAUUCCUUCUCCCAGGAAGACCCGAUCAGACUCGGAAUCCCGGUUACAAGACAUUUCGACAAUGGUAAAACAAGACCAGCAAGACCGCCCGAAUGUGCCGACGAAUCCCGAUAGGAGCUGCACAUAUCUCGUUCUUAGGGCACACCGGAUGAGCAAUCCGUACAACUAAAACCAACCCUCAAGUUUCCCCGAGGUGGCGCUACAAGUAGUUCGGACCAACAAUUAGGCCUCGUUUGGUUGCACGGGAUCCCGGAGGGAACCCCGCUUAUUCCCCGGUCAAGAAAAGUACGGGCCCGACCAAGCCAGGGAAAUCGAGCGUGAUGUUUGGACAGAUUCGUUGGGGAGGUAUCCCUGCCCUACCCAUGUCGUUUCCCCGGGGAAACGUUCCACGCCUCCAGGGGUCGGGGAGAGAAGCCACGGCUCGAGCGAGACCGCAAGCGCAGCGACCGAAAGGCAACAACGGCCAAGAUCCAGUCCUCCGCCUCCGAGUUUCUCCGGCAGCGACCGAAGAGACGGACCGCCCCCUCCCUCCGGUGCUCCGCCUGCAUGCUCCGCCCACCAGCGACCGCGACGGCCGUGGUCGUCACCCUCCUCCUUCCCCAGAUCUACCCUCCUCCUCAAAGUUCCUGCCCCUCCGAUGACGGCAACGGCGACGGUUCCACGGUCAACUUCCACCUACUUCCACCAUGGUUAGCCCCCCUCCUCUUCCACCUCGUAUUUUUUUCUCCAAUCCAUCAACUCACCAUCCAUGCACUAAUGCCUGAACUUGCUGGUCAGAUCCAAGAACUCGAGCCUUCUCUUCUUCUAAAUAAUUCCACAUGCCGGAGACAAAAUUUACUCAUUGGUUAAUAAGAAUCCAUCUCAUAUAUUCCUGUAUUGUUCCUUUCUGAAAGGGGGAAAAAGCAUAAGUCGGGGUAAAUUACUGUACUAGUCAAGACAACUAAUUUUCAUACAAGGGCACCAAUGCACAAGCAGUGUCAAUGUCAGAGUGUACUUUAUUUCAGAGAUGAUUGGAGCAACCUUUGAUCGGUUCAGCAGCAGUUGACAUCUAAUCAAAUCACAAUUAAUAGACUUGUAGGCAAAAUAUUGGAGACCUAGUGUAAGAUCAAGUCAUUAGGAGGAUGAUCGUAUAGACAACUAUCAGAUAGGAGUAGUAUCAAUUACAGUAUCAUUAUGCAUGGUUGUGUCAUAAUUAAUACACUAUAAUCAUGCAUUUCACUUACAUGCACACAAAGAGCUCCACAACUAGCAUUUUAGAAAGAUUAGAUUCAUAUACUGAUCUGUAUAUAAUUGCCUAUAAUUUGCAUUUCGGCACAUGUUGGCUCAUAUUUUUCUCAGCUAGCUCAUAUAUUCAUCAUAACACUAACACACGUCUUGCUUUUUUCUUAUUGCAGAGGCUGUCUAGGUGCUGUUUUGGUGUUUCCCGUGGUGCACAUGUGUGCUGCCUUUCCUACAAUAUGUGUUUUCAUGCAUUUUUGCGCAAACUUUUGUGUCCUGAACUGAUAAGUAUUCAAUUGUGUGCCACAUGCAGGUGCUCUGAACCUCUGACAUUAGCAAAUGAUUUGCUUUAUCCGAAAAUGCUAGGUGGUGGCGGCGACGUUGUGUUCAGUGGCUAAGUGCCUUUUGGUUCGUUGGUCAUUGAAAAUAUUUCACCUGAUGAAAGGUAUAUGACAGCCAUCCCUGGAUGCCUUCUCCUUAAUUUGUCACACAAUCAAAAUAUGUGAUGUGAGGAAGCUUAAAUUUAUUUGUUGGUAUAAAUUGAUCGACUAAUCAGCAAGAGAUUUGGUUGGUGAUGUUAUUUUUCAGGCUGUCUAGUUAGACGGCAUUGACUCGCAGACCUUGAUUAAGCAAGAAACACAACGCAUGGAUAGUACUCCCAGCUUGCCAAGUGCCAAUUAGUAACAGCAAACUUACUCAUCAGGAAAAUAACUUGUUACAGCUCCUUAUGGACUCCUACUAGUAAUUUUGUAUGUGUUGCUGAAUUUGUCGGGACACUCAAACACCUUGAUAUUUCUUUACUUUCUUUUCUUUGUUGCUUCAGUUAGAAUAUGCUAUCAUUCAAGUGACCUUCUAGCAAUCUGGUUGACAAAUGACAAACCUUUUCAGUUUCGACAUCGGUUUCACGGGAUGACACACUAGAGUAGACUAGCUACCUGCUAGGACGACAGUUUUACACCGAUGUUAAUUUUCCUUUCUUGCGAAUAAUUACAGGGUCUUGCUUAAGCAAGAGAAAGUACUGCCAAGUAUCAACUAGCUAGUUAUAGAUUCACUCAUCAGGGAAGUAACUUGUAACAGCAGUGGAGUGCGGGCAUGUGCCAUAUAUCUAUUAGUAAUUUAGUACUUUCAUCGUGCUUGUGCUAGCUCCAGGUUUGAAUCUUCCUUAGUACACUAUUUUUAGAAGUGAUGCUUACUGUUGGUUAGGUUCUUCUGAAGAACAAUAACAAUUUUUUAUAUUUGUUGCACAAGUUCUGCUAUGCAUUCAUUUACACUUACGACACUGCCGGAGAAUACAUUGUUUGUGAAUUGUUUGUUAGACUGCCUUACAUCCUUUUAUAUAUAGACGCCUUUAAUUCUCUGCACUAAAAAAUCCAUGUUUGUUUUGUCCUUACUUUCCCCAUUAUACAUUUUUUGUCCCCAUUUUUACUAAUUUUGGAAUUAUAUAUUGGCGGGAAGCUUGACAAUAAUGAUCUAUUGCUUAUCAUCUUCCUUCCUUCUAUCCUUACUUAUUUAGUAAUUAUUACUGAAAUGUAUGACACAAUAACCAGAAAUAGAAGUUAGUAUUCUGGCUCUUAUCUUUUUUCUCAACAAGUUCUGCUGAUUGUUAUUAAAAAUCUAAGCUAUAGUCAUCAUGUGCUCAUGUAAUUGUUACAAUUCUUAGUUGGAUACAUGGUGCUAACUUCCUUUUUUUGUAAUUCAACGAACAUCGGGUUGUGGUACCUGAUGUAGAUGCGGAGUGGAGAAAAGACCUGAGUAGGACUAGUGAUUUUCACCUUGCAGCCCAUCCUAUUCGAAAGUGUCUAUGCCUCGGACAUGACAACUUGAUAAUUCAGAAUUUUUUUAGUGAACAAACUAAAACAAUGAUGCAUCAAUGCCAAUUGUAUUGAUUGCUUUUAUGUUGGAACACGAAAAAAAGGUUUAGCUCAACGCUUAAUCAGAAUGAAAUGUGGACCGAUGGGUAUUUG
This 25090-nucleotide long non-coding RNA is filed under the name Triticum aestivum (bread wheat). RNAcentral's name for it is "long non-coding RNA (TAES_LNC021110)". The record is from RNAcentral. Lineage: Eukaryota; Viridiplantae; Streptophyta; Magnoliopsida; Poales; Poaceae.